Rosa chinensis is the source of this 805-nucleotide long non-coding RNA. RefSeq lists it as uncharacterized. The record is from RefSeq and is a predicted model, not a curated record. The transcript is spliced from 8 exons. NCBI's taxonomy places the organism in Eukaryota, Viridiplantae, Streptophyta, Magnoliopsida, Rosales, Rosaceae.
GUAACCAUAUAACCAAGAUUGCUCUCUCAAUUUGGAUCUCCGCCGUGAAUCUCACUCUCAGCUCUCCCAUAUCAAUAUAGUCGACGAACAGGUUUCUUCUACAGCCGUUUAACCAUAUAACGAAGAUUGCUCUCUCAAUUUGGAUCUCCGCCGUGAAUCCCACUGUCAGCUCUCCCUUAUCGAUAUCGUCAAUUGUUCGGGAAGCUUCUAUUGAACAAAGUUAUCGAACGCAGAUCGAUCUUGAUUGUUUCACAGUUUCAACUACAUCCCUCAAGCUGCCAGAUACUACGGUUGGGCUGAUAACAAGUACAAAAGGUUUUGCUUGCUCCUACUGUUUCUUCGAAGUGAUUUAUUUGUGAGAUCGUCUGUAUUCCAGGUUUUAUAUCGGUCUUGACGUUUUAGGGAUUUGGUUUAUCUUCGGCUUUGGGAAUCUGGUGAUUGAUUGGAAAGGUUGCAAGGUUUCGCUUACUACUACUGUUCCUGUUUGAAGUGAUUCAUUUCUUAGAAGAUCAGUGUUUAAGAUUCUAUGCAAAAAACUUUUGCCAACAUUUUUCUGCUGCUGUUCCUUUGUCUGCUCUUCAAUAUUAUUUUGGUUUUGUAUUGUUAUUCAGAUUUGGGGAAUAGUUUGCAGUCAGAUUCGUUAACUGUUAUUGAUCCAGUUAUGCUGCCGAAUACUGGAACAACCAAAGGAAAAAGAUCCUUGCAACAGAGGGAUCAUUACAUUAAGUCAGGAAGAUGGAAGCAAGUAUCUCAACAAGACCCAGUGGAAGAAGAAGAGAUUGUGCAGAUCAACAAUGAAGAAAUC